CCUACGGGUGGCUGCAGUGGGGGAUAUUGCACAAUGGGGGGAACCCUGAUGCAGCGACGCCGCGUGGGUGAAGAAGCGCCUCGGCGCGUAAAGCCCUGUCAGCAGGGAAGAAAAUGACGGUACCUGAAGAAUAAGCCCCGGCUAAAGACGUGCCAGCAGCCGCGGGAAUACGUAGGGGGCAAGCGUUAGCCGGAUUUACUGGGUGUAAAGGUGGCGCAGACGGCGAUGCAAGCCAGGUGUGAAAGCCCGGGGCCCAACCCCGGGACUGCUCUUGGCACUGCGUGGCUGGAGUGCAGGAGAGGAAGGCGGAAUUCCUGGUGUAGCGGUGAAAUGCGUAGAUAUCAGGAAGAACACCGGUGGCGAAGGCAGCCUGCUGGACUGCAACUGACGUUGAGGCACGAAAGCGUGGGGAGCAAACAGGAUUAGAUACCCGGGUAGUC
This 440-nucleotide ribosomal RNA is filed under the name uncultured bacterium. RNAcentral's name for it is "partial 16S ribosomal RNA". It matches the Rfam family "Bacterial small subunit ribosomal RNA", at positions 338 to 795 of the family's 1533-position model. The record is from RNAcentral.